ACCACCGAAGUUAAGCAGCGUAGAGCCAGGUCAGUACUUAGAUGGGGGACCGCUUGGGAACACCUGGUACUGUAAG
Molecule: non-coding RNA, 76 nt
Organism: Acanthosepion pharaonis
Lineage: Eukaryota; Metazoa; Mollusca; Cephalopoda; Sepiida; Sepiidae
Source: the annotation of a GenBank genome assembly